This 742-nucleotide long non-coding RNA is filed under the name Cricetulus griseus (Chinese hamster). RNAcentral describes it as "lncRNA (ENSCGRG00015039104.1)". The record is from RNAcentral. Lineage: Eukaryota; Metazoa; Chordata; Mammalia; Rodentia; Cricetidae.
GAUUUUCGGGGCUCUGCUACAUCUGCCUCCCAGAUCUUCCCACUUAAUCUCUUGACCUGUGUAAAUCUCAACCAAGCAUCAUCAGGAGAACUUAUUACAUAGCUUCUGAUUCAGUAUGUUGCUGAAGAGCCAAGGACUGUCCAGUUGAAGCAAUCUCCCUGAUGAUACUGGCACUGCUAACCCCAGGACCACACAGACCAGCAAUGCCUCACAAGACCUCUGUGCUUCUUUCAAACAUUAUAUUCUACAAAGUCAUGUCAAUUGCUUUACCAGUCAUGUGGCUUGAAUAAAGAGCCUUCAUCCAGCAGCUGGUGGAAGUUGAAGCAGACACCCACAACUAAUCACUGAACUGAACUGGAAUCCAGUUGCAGAGAAGGAUGAAUGAAGAGCAAAGGGGUCCAGACCAGGCUGGUGAAACCCACAGAAACAGCUGAACUGAACAGGGAGCUCUUGGUCCCCAGAUUGAUAACCGGGAUACCAGUAUGGGACUGAUCCAGACCCCAGGAAUGUGAGUUUCAGUGAGGAGACCUCAAAUCUACAGGACCUCCUGUAGUUGUUCAGUACUUAUCCUUAGCAUAGUUGUGGACUUUGGGAGCCCAAUCCACAUACAGGUAUACUCCCUGAGCCAAGACACAUGGGGGUGGGCCUAGGCCCCAUCCCAAAGGAUAUGAUAGACUCUGAUGACACCCUAUGGAAGGCCUCACUGUCCCUGGGGAGCAGAAAGGAUAUGUGAUAGGUUGGG